GAUCAUGGCUCAGGAUGAACGCUAGCUACAGGCUUAACACAUGCAAGUCGAGGGGCAGCGAGAGUGUAGCAAUACACUUGUCGGCGACCGGCGCACGGGUGAGUAACGCGUAUCCAACCUGGCCCUUAGUAGGGGAUAGCCCGGCGAAAGUCGGAUUAAUACCCUAUGUUCUCCUUUGAGAGCAUUCGAGCAGGAGCAAAGAUUUAUCGCUAGGGGAUGGGGAUGCGUCCGAUUAGGCAGCAGGCGGGGUGACGGCCCACCUGGCCGACGAUCGGUAGGGGUUCUGAGAGGAAGGUCCCCCACACUGGUACUGAGACACGGACCAGACUCCUACGGGAGGCAGCAGUGAGGAAUAUUGGUCAAUGGGCGUGAGCCUGAAACCCAGCCAAGUAGCGUGAGGGACGACGGCCCUACGGGUUGUAAACCUCUUUUGCCGGGGAAUAAAGUGCGGGACGCGUCCCGUUUUGUAUGUACCCGGAGAAUAAGGACCGGCUAAUUCCGUGCCAGCAGCUGC
RNAcentral lists this ribosomal RNA (514 nucleotides) under uncultured bacterium. RNAcentral describes it as "bacterial SSU rRNA". It matches the Rfam family "Bacterial small subunit ribosomal RNA", at positions 15 to 518 of the family's 1533-position model. The record is from RNAcentral.